This 93-nucleotide transfer RNA is filed under the name Acidimicrobiia bacterium. RNAcentral's name for it is "tRNA-Ser". It matches the Rfam family "tRNA". From Rfam's summary of the family: Transfer RNA (tRNA) molecules are approximately 80 nucleotides in length. Their secondary structure includes four short double-helical elements and three loops (D, anti-codon, and T loops). Lineage: Bacteria; Bacillati; Actinomycetota; Acidimicrobiia. The record is from RNAcentral.
GGAGGGAUGACCGAGCGGCCGAAGGUGAUCGCCUGCUAAGCGAUUGAGGGUUCACAAGACUCUCCGAGGGUUCAAAUCCCUCUCCCUCCGCCA